CAAAAUAAAAAUAAGUCAUAUCCACAAGACUAUUAAUACCCUUACUCAGAGAUGAAAUGUUGUUUUCAUUUCUAGAGUUUAUAUGCGUAAUAUGAUCACAAGUUUUAUCUUUAAACUGACACUCGAUUUGCUCCAUAAUAUUUGUCUCUGGUACCUAAGACCGGCCUGUUAUCUUAACGUCUUCACACAAUGCCUAAACGUCCUCCCUGGACUCAAC
RNAcentral lists this long non-coding RNA (217 nucleotides) under Gossypium barbadense (sea-island cotton). RNAcentral describes it as "long non-coding RNA (GBAR_LNC014803)". The record is from RNAcentral. Lineage: Eukaryota; Viridiplantae; Streptophyta; Magnoliopsida; Malvales; Malvaceae.